GAGAAAGUGGAGAAAGUGGGUAGUGAGUAGAGAAAAGUAGGAAUAAAUUCAAACAUGGUAAAAAAUAAGCUGCUCACACUAACAAUUCCAGAAGUGUUAUUGUGCGAUUGGCUUCUUCUUCUCCACAUUUGUCUUUUCGAGCUUCUAGGGUUAAUUUUUGGCAGAUCAACAAACUGUUCGGCUGGUUUCGUUCUCCUCCACAUCUGAAUUGGUCUUGCACCAACGCAUAUUUGGGAGCGCGAAAUUUGAAUAUCGAUGGACUAUAGACAAACAAACAAGCGUCCAUGCUUUGGAAAAAAAAUGUCUAGAUCGAAAUGUUAAACGACGUGAACAAUAUAAACUUAAGAUGGCGAAUGAAAAGAGUGCCUUAGCAUUACAAGAGGUACCUACAAAGCAGGUGCUGAAACAUAAUCCCUUUGAAAGAGCGACUUCUAUCAUUCCUACUGAGAUAACAACAACAUCAGGACAUCUCCAGUGUACGUCUACAAAGGACUCUUGCUCUACUCUCAAAACAGAUUAUGGCGGGUCUCCGAUUUGCUUCUCGAGAUGCACACAUCCCGGCCAGGGUAUGAUCAAGUCUUCGAUUCUUACUCCGAGCUUCCGAACUCAGGCUUGGGGUAUGAUCAAGUCUUCGAAAUUGAGCUCUCCGACUUAGACCGUAUACAGAUAGUCCCCGUGUUUCUUAGAAUGAAAUGAUAUGAAAUGAUUUCAAUUCCCAAGUCCUUUAUGAUGGCAUCACUCUUAUGACGUAAGCGUUGAAAUGACUGAAGCGUCCCGUUGGUUCUCUUCCCCAAAAGCAUUAAGUGCACGUCAGAGAUGGCCGGCCAUCAAUAUUAAUGAACAGUCGUCGCCUUCCUCUAUAUAUACUUGUUUUCUCUUCUCUUUAAGGACUUUCCCACCUUGCAACACCUAUUUUCCUCUAUUCGUUUCCUUUUCACCACCAGUUCCUCUGCUAUAUUGUCUCAAAACCUCGCUGGUUCAUUCAUUUCUUCCUUCUUUUUCUAAAGAACUGAUGGCAAAAACUUCCAAGUCCAUUCUUCAGAAAAAAGGAAACUCUACUUCUACUUCCCGUCCGACCAGUGGUAAGCCGCAUGUGCUUCACGAGAUCAUACCAAGAAAUUUUCCUUAACGAAGUACUUUAUAGUCGAGAACCCUCCCGACAUCGCCGACCGUCGAGAGCAUUCAUCGAGAUACAUAAGGUCAAUUGAGGAAAAACACCUCGAUGUUGUGAGAAGAGAGUGUAAAUGGGAAGAGAAGUUCGUUUUGCAAAUACCUUCUCUAGGGGAGCACAUCACAACUUACGUAGAAGGGUUCCUGAGUGUAUAUACAUACCCCUUUACGCUGGGUCUCCUCGACCCGCUCACGCUUGAAUUCUGCCGAAGAUAUCAAGUAACCCUAGGCCAGAUUCAUCCGUUCUUUUGGCGGAUCAUAAUAAUGAUGCGAUUCUUUAGCGAAAAAGGCCGGGCUCGAGUUCACCCUCAGCCACCUCAUCUAAUUAUAUCGACCUCAACAUUUUCGAGGUUUAAUCAAACUCUAACACCGAUUAACCAAAUCCUUUUUCGCCAGUAAUGACGAAGGCAAUAAUCGAGGUUGGAUGAGCCGGUUCAUCCGAGUGAGGACCGCCGAUAUUAUUCCCGAAGAGUUCUUGUCGUUCCCCGAGGAAUGGAACUUCAAACGUGAGUGGAAUUCUUCGAUUUAGUUCUUUUCCAUAAAUUUUGCUAAACUUCGCAUAAUUACUCAUUUCCCCUCUCCGCAACGGUUGUGUGGAUGCCUAAUGCAAUCACCAUACGACAAACGCAAAUGGCGGGACUUGUCGAAGGGCAAGUGGGAAGAGAAACACCACGGUACGCGUCAUAUUGUUUCUUUACUCAUUAAGAAUGUCUUUCUUUAUGUGACUUGAUUCCUCUAUCACAAGUAUUGGUGAGUUAUUCGAGAUGAGGCCGCCCCCUUCCGGGGAGGAAGUAGGAUUUUCGGCUCUAAAGUCAAAGAAGGAUAACAAGAGAAAAAGGUCCUCGAAAAAUGAGGACACUCAAAUCCAAGCAGAGUCCGCUCGGAGGCGUUAGAAAAGUGUCGUCAUCAACGUGGAUGUUGACUUGGUCCACCAGUUCAUGGACGAUGACAGUGACGAGGUGGAGGGUCCGACGCUAGUGGCUCGAACCAGGAAAUCUUCCGAGGCUAUCAAGCAUGCUGAGAUCGGGGCCCCUAGUCUCGAGGAAGGAACUUUAAAAGAAAAGAGGGAUGAAGGCCCUACAUCACCUGGCGCGACAAUUGCUUCUCGGACUUCUGGAAAUACUCCAAAGGGAGUGAGCUUCGAAGCACUUCUACCUGAACAGAGCGCCUCUGGUGAUCUCCCUGAGGCCAUAACAGUAGGUUAACCCUCGUCGUUUCUAUCCUUCUCUGAGGAUACCAUUAUGGAUGCUCAAAACUUGAAGACGUCCGAGCUAGGUGGAGUCCCGAGUGAAAAUGACCCCUUCUGGGGUUACUUUGUCGGGGUCGAUGAGGCCGACCCAGCGGAUGCAAGCUUAAUCUUCGAGGAGGCUCGGCGUCUUUUCUCAAUUAUAAGUUUUUAUUCUUCAGAUAGGGCGGUGGCCAUCUAUUUAAAGGAUGAUGUCGAUGCUCAGAUGGAGUUGAGGGAGGUUUCUAAUCGCUUCCAACUUUGCACUACUAAUAAGUAGCAAGAGAGGGUCACAAUAGCUUUUACCCAAUUUUGGGUCGGGAUCGAUAUCCACAGAGAGCUAGAAUUGGAAUCGAGUAUCUAUCUAGUUUAGGAUUGCGUAUUUGUUCCAAAUUACUCUUCUAAUAAUUUUUGGGGUUUUCGUUAUAAUUCUACCUUUAUCAAACAACAAAUUGUAAAUGCAACUAGAUUAAGCUAAGAGUUAAUAUUGCAAGUUGUAUCAAAUGGUUUAAAAGGCACUAGGGUAGUGACUUCCGUCUAGGUGGUCAAUUGACGGGUCAUUGCAUAUAAGGCACGAUUGACAUAAUUGGGGAGUAUGAGAUAACCGUUGCACUAUUUUACCCACUCUACACCUCUCGGUGGUUCGAGUGAUUUCGCCCGAAUUGACUUUCUCAAGACCAACUGGGUAUGCAAUUUUGCAUAAGCAACUAGGGUUCAAGUCGGGUAUUACUCUCUCGAGGUUUAACCCUUCAAUUGGGGCUAUCAAUCUCUUGAUUAUGCCUCAAUUCCUUGUUGGACCAAUUUCGGAGACUUAGGCUCUCUUUAUCAAGCAGAGCCCAAGUCAACUAAGAACAAACUAGUGUUUGCAACCACUAAUUCACCAAUUAACCAUGAAAUUGGUCCAAAUA
Nicotiana tabacum (common tobacco) is the source of this 3303-nucleotide long non-coding RNA. RefSeq lists it as uncharacterized. NCBI's taxonomy places the organism in Eukaryota, Viridiplantae, Streptophyta, Magnoliopsida, Solanales, Solanaceae. The record is from RefSeq and is a predicted model, not a curated record.